This 301-nucleotide ribosomal RNA is filed under the name uncultured bacterium. Its description in RNAcentral is "partial 16S ribosomal RNA". It matches the Rfam family "Bacterial small subunit ribosomal RNA", at positions 509 to 807 of the family's 1533-position model. The record is from RNAcentral.
CAGUCGCCGCGGGAAUACGAAGGGGGCUAGCGUUGUUCGGAAUUACUGGGCGUAAAGGGCGCGUAGGCGGCCAUUCAAGUUAGAUGUGAAAGCCCUGGGCUCAACCUAGGAAUUGCAUUUGAUACUGUUUGGCUUGAAUUCGGGAGAGGUGAGUGGAAUUCCCAGUGUAGAGGUGAAAUUCGUAGAUAUUGGGAAGAACACCAGUGGCGAAGGCGGCUCACUGGACCGACACUGACGCUGAGGCGCGAAAGCGUGGGGAGCAAACAGGAUUAGAUACCCGAGUAGUCCCUGUCUCUUAUAC